This 389-nucleotide ribosomal RNA is filed under the name uncultured bacterium. Its description in RNAcentral is "bacterial SSU rRNA". It matches the Rfam family "Bacterial small subunit ribosomal RNA", at positions 28 to 417 of the family's 1533-position model. The record is from RNAcentral.
GACGAACGCUGGCGGCGUGCUUAACACAUGCAAGUCGAGCGGUAAGGCCCUUUCGGGGGUACACGAGCGGCGAACGGGUGAGUAACACGUGGGUGACCUGCCCUCAGCUCUGGGAUAAGCCUGGGAAACCGGGUCUAAUACCGGAUAUGACUCCAUGACGCAUGUUGUGGGGUGGAAAGCCUUGUGCGGCUGAGGAGUGGGCCCGCGGCCUAUCAGCUUGUUGGUGGGGUGAUGGCCUACCAAGGCGACGACGGGUAGCCGGCCUGAGAGGGCGACCGGCCACACUGGGACUGAGACACGGCCCAGACUCCUACGGGAGGCAGCAGUGGGGAAUCUUGCGCAAUGGGCGAAAGCCUGACGCAGCGACGCCGCGUGAGGGAUGACGGCCU